This is a long non-coding RNA of Calypte anna (Anna's hummingbird), 1212 nucleotides long. RefSeq lists it as uncharacterized. The transcript is spliced from 3 exons. Lineage: Eukaryota; Metazoa; Chordata; Aves; Apodiformes; Trochilidae. The record is from RefSeq and is a predicted model, not a curated record.
GGGAAGCUGCAGCGGCGGCGCCCCCCUCCUCUGGAACACGCCGUCCACGAAGACGCCGUUCUUGCCGAGGCAGCGCAGUUAAGUUAUUCAGUCCGCAUCGAAUUAUGCAGCAGCACCUGACUUCAUCACAGUAAUUAAGAAUUAGCAGACAUCACCUUCACCAUCUAACAGUCAAACAACCUGACCCAAGUUUAACAGAAAUGUGGAGAAUGGGGAGAAGAGCGAAAACAACCAUUUAACCUCCAGCAGGCACUUGUUAGCCUACUCCUAACUCUUGAGAGAAAGAAAACAGCGCUGUACAGCUCCAAAACACAACAAUUUUUACCGGUGAAAAGGCUGCCGGGCGGAUCGGGACCCCUCGCAGCCACUUCUCCUGACAGGAACCCCGCGCUGCCCGCCCGCCCGCCCUCCUUCCCAGACUGCCCCGCGCCUCAUGGCGGCCGAGGCACUGACUGAAUGCGGAGCCUCCACUUUCCGGGGAUGCGGGUGGAGCCGAGCUCCGCUUUCCGGGCAUGGGUGUUUGUAAACACUGCGAGGGACUCCCUCCCGGCACCGCCCCAGUCUCUUCUGUGAGGGAAAAACGAUUGAAGCAAAGCGCUUGGAGCGUUGUCAAGAUUAUUUCAUAUAUUUUGAAGGCAGACCUUCACCCUCGAGAGGUCCAUGGAGGCCAAGAGUCGACUCGCCCAAGGGAAAAGUUUCCAGCCCUAACAACGCCUCGGUUUCUCUCCAAUCAACAGCAGACAACCAUUGAAGCCUUAAAUUGAAAGCAUCCCAGUCCACCCUCAGAGGGUAAUUAUUCAUCAAGCAGCGCGAAAUCCCCACACCACAAAAUGAAAGCCGCAGCCGCAUUACUCUGCGGUAACUGGAAAUGUGAAACCCCCAUCAAUUUAGAAUUCAGCCUUGCCUGACACAGGAUCUUUGCCAAAUAAAUAGCUAACUAAUCAUCACGUUCUUGUUAUGUUUAAAACCGUAACACCUUGGAGAAAAUUAGAAGUAACCAAAAGCGUUUUUUGUUACCCACUUUUUAAACAACAAAGCUCUAUCACUACAAAGUCUUGAAGUAUAACCAGAGAAACUGAACCUCACCAGUUGCUGCAAUUACUGUAUUUAAUGUUGAUCAUUAAUUACUAUUAGUUAUGACCACAUUUAAGCACAAUUCUACUGGUAAGAUUUUUCACCGAAUUAAUUAGCCAUUUUUUGCCAUUUCAUGCU